GGGGUCGUUAGCUCAGUUGGUAGAGCAGUUGACUUUUAAUCAAUUGGUCGCAGGUUCGANAAUUCAGGCAACACCC
Molecule: transfer RNA, 76 nt
Filed under: Enterobacter hormaechei
Lineage: Bacteria; Pseudomonadati; Pseudomonadota; Gammaproteobacteria; Enterobacterales; Enterobacteriaceae
Description: tRNA-Lys(ttt)
Rfam family: tRNA
About the family: Transfer RNA (tRNA) molecules are approximately 80 nucleotides in length.
Source: RNAcentral